This is a long non-coding RNA of Meriones unguiculatus (Mongolian gerbil), 2253 nucleotides long. RefSeq lists it as uncharacterized. The transcript is spliced from 2 exons. The record is from RefSeq and is a predicted model, not a curated record. Lineage: Eukaryota; Metazoa; Chordata; Mammalia; Rodentia; Muridae.
CUCGGGUUGCAAGAACUUGCAAGUUCCCACAAGUUUAUCAUCAUCAUCAUCAUCAUCAUCAUCAUCAUCAUCAUCAUCAACAAACAGCGGCAGCACCACAGUGAACAUCUCAUUCACGACCAUACCUAUGAGAAUUCCUCAGCUUCUAUUUCUUUGCCUAGUUUCUCCUCUCAUUCUUGCAUGCACUCUCCUAUCCAAACAAGCAGAUUUAUUUCUACAUUGUUUACAAACGGUUAAAUCAUUUAAAAUAUUUGAAUUUCUGCCAGAAUCCUGUCUGCCUGCUGCUUCCUGGGUUGCAGCCUGGGCAAGAGUGAACACAGCUUCAGUUUCCCACAUUCUCACGUGAGAAUAAGCUCUCCUGGGAAAGGGAAGAAAGAGCCUAGGGUCCCAGUACAACACUCCUUUGUACCGGGUGACCACGGUAAGGACCUCACUGAGAGGCCUGCCUGAAAUGAAAAUGGCACUUUUACGGCUAUGGAUGUGUUUGUCCAAAGAACACUUAAUCACUCCAAAGGUCCACCCCCCUCCCCUUGUCUGAAGUAAGCUGCAUUUUGUAACUGUAGAGUUCUGCUAAUGUACACUUCUGCCGGGAAGCUUCCCAGGGUGGGGCACAAAGGACUCUAAGUAGCAGGGGGAGAUGGGGAGGGAGCCAUUAGCACUGCGGCGCUGAGGUCAGAUGGGAGGCCGCCUUUUGUUUGCAGGAUCCAAAUUAAGACUGGGCCUCUCCACUUUCCCUUCUGCCUCCCACCUAAACACACUCUUGGGUCAUCUCGGGCUGGUCACAUCUUUUGACAAUUAGCCACCCAUUAACAGGAUGAUUGAAAAGGAGCCAGCGUGGUUUACACAUAAAGUGCUUACUCUCUUCCAGGAAGGACACGUGUCUGCAGUUUUCAUUAAUGCUUCGGCAGAUUCGUACACAAAAUAAAAUACUGAUACUCCUGCAAAGGGAAGAGUCAAAUCCGCUUUAAGAAUGCUCUGAGCCCCUCAGCUCCCUUCUGUCUGAGGGCUCAUAUUCCCGAUAACCAGAAGCUGUAAGGAUGCUGAUUUGAGCUACCUGCCAGCAAGACUAAAGCAUGCGAUGUUGUGGUGAAUGUGCAAACACCUGGGAAGGCCGUCAGUGCACACUGAGCCUGUUAGGAAACAUAUUCAGGAGCUUACGAUGUCACUGGGCAGGCAGAGGUAUUUUAUGCUACAGAAGGGCGACAGUAGGGAGACGGCCGGGGACAGGCUGCCUUUGCUCCAAGGCUCAAGAAAAGGAGAAACACAGGCUGCCUCCUGACCAGGCUUCUCAUGGCUGCACUGUUUGGUUAGCAGGUUUUGCCCAACCUGCUGGAACCAAUUUCCCGGUAGCUGAUGGAGCAACAUUUACCAGCAAAUAUUUAGAAUCCAAGAAAUUUGCUUCGCCCUGUGUCUACACCGGAUGGCCAACUCAGAGUCCUGUAGCCAAAGAGCUCAAGUUUAAAUCCACUUCUGGCUGAGUAGCAGAAAACUAUUUAUAUAAUGGUUAAGACAUACAAAAGGAAAAGGGAUGGCUGCUCUUGAUGUUUUUUUAAUUUUUUUUAUGUUUUUGUUUGUAUUUGUGUGUGUGUGUGUGUGUGUGUGUGUGUGUGUACACAGCACAUGUGCAGGUGGUCAUAGAGGCUAGAAUAGAACAUUUGAUACCCGAGAGCUGGAGCUACAAGCAGUUUUAACCCAUCUGACAUUGGGCCUUUGGAAGAACAAUGCUUGAUCUUACUGAGCCAUCCCUCCAGCCCCCAUGCCCUGCUUCUAGGUAGCAAAUCCUUGUACUUCAAGAAAUUGAUGCUGCUACAUUUUUGCGUGUAGACUAAAUUAAACUAACAAAACAUCUAUAAAUGGCGAUUUUUUUGUAUUUCAGCUUUGUAACAGAAAGAAGGGAUGAAUCCCACAAUUAGGAAUUUAAAAAUAUUUCCCUGGAAAAGAACCUUAAAAUAUGAGAAAAGCACAGUAUACUUUCUCAAAGCACAUUCUCCAAAGAAAAUGUAAUUGUUUCUUGUCUCCCUCUCCCAUUUUCUUAUAUCUAUAGAAAUACAGUUUGUAAUGUCUAGUACUUGGUCUAUCUUAACUGUUCUAUCAUGAUUCCAUUGAUCUCAUUCACUCACAUGGAAAAACUUCAUGUCAAUAAAGAAUUCUAAAGGGAAAUAGGAAUGAAGAGAUCCUAUGUCUCAUUGUCAAAGUUAUGAGUUGAAAGUGGGGCUCAGUAAACUAUGAGAUGGGAGACAAAUCCAGCCUGCC